Pan troglodytes (chimpanzee) is the source of this 2271-nucleotide long non-coding RNA. RefSeq lists it as uncharacterized. The transcript is spliced from 4 exons. NCBI's taxonomy places the organism in Eukaryota, Metazoa, Chordata, Mammalia, Primates, Hominidae. The record is from RefSeq and is a predicted model, not a curated record.
GGAGAAGUUUGGAUUGUUUCCAGUUUUUGGCAAUUAUAUAUAAAGUCACCUCUGUACAGGUUUUCAAGUGACCAUAGUUUUCAUUUCACUUGGGUCAAUAAUAAGUAGGAGGCCAAGCUGUGUGGUAAGUGCAUGCUUCACCUUCUAAGAAACUGCUGCACUGUUUUCCAAAGUAAGUUUACAUUUUUAAAAUUUCACCAAAAAUGGAUGAGAUUUUCAGUACUCCACAUUCUUGACAGCAUUUAAUAUUAUCGAUUUUAAUUUAAUCAUUAUUAUAGAUGUUUAUUGGUAUAUCAUCAUUGUUUUAAUAUGUAUUUCUGUAAUGACUGUUGAGGUUGAGUGUCUUUGCGUUAUUUGCCAUUUGAUGGAGUUUCUGUACAUCUUUUACCCAUUUGAAAGCAAAUUGUUCAUUUGAUGGAAAAGUAGUGUUUUGUUUUGUUUUAAUUUUUUUUGGUUAGGUUGAUGUUGUCAACUGUUAUCUAUACUCUCCUCUACCCCACGAAGCCUUUAGCCACCUAAAAGAUAUUGAGAUCAACAUUUAGUGUGAAUAGAGCCACAUUUUCACAAGUCAGACAGGAGAAAACUAUAUAUGGAGCAUUUUUCUGAAUGUCUUUGGAAAUAAAAAAUAACUACUUCCAUUCCCCUUGGAGGAGCCUACCCCAUCCAGUAACAUGAGGUCAUUAAGCCAAGUUCUUCUUUAUAGGAGAAGAAAAACCAUAGGUGCUUCUUUAAGAGGGUAACUUGUUUUUCCUAGAGCUAUAAGAGACCAGAGGAUUAUAGAAUUCUGGUUUUUAAAACAGCCUGAGGAUUCCCUCAGGGCAAAUAUUGAUUAUUUGUAACUUGAAAUUUUAAAUCACGCUUCAAGUGUCACUUUAAAGUAUAAGAAAUCGAUGUACCUGUAAAAUUGACAUAGUUACUUCAGAUAUGAUACAAAUAGAAGCCACAGCAACCUUCACUAUUUACCAGAUUGAAGAAAAAAAUAAGUAAGACCUUGAAAUAUUUUACUGUUUUAGUGGAAUAUACUUGUAGUGAACUUCUGUUAGGAAUUUUCUUUUGCAGCUCCUGGUGUUUCCUUUAUUGAGGACCGCCUUUCUUUUCCAUGCCAUUUUGCAUCUUCCACUGGGAUGGGCCCUCAGCAGCCAUGUUUGUAGUACCUCAUCCCACCCCUUGGCCAGAGGUGAUGUGACGAGAGGGCGUUGUAGUCCACUGAGUGUUUGGGGCAAGGACAUUUUCGACAGUUCCGAAAGACUUACCUCACACAGGUGCUGCUUGCAUCAAAAGAGUCAGCCCUGCUAGCUGGGAGCCCACAAAGAUUUCUGGUGGAGAGAAGAAAAAGUAGCAUCUAGGGAAGCCUGCUGCCAUGUCUUGAGGACCCUCCAACAGCUCUGUGGAGAAGCCCACAUGGUGAGAAACUGAGGCCUUCAUGCAACAGCCAUGUGAAAAAGUCUUCAUGGAAGUGGGUCUUCCAGCCCAAUCAGAUCUUCAGAUGACUGCAGCCCCAGCUGACAGUUUCACAGCAAACUAAUGAGAGACCCUGAACCAGAGCCACCUGGGCCCCUGAGUUUCUGGCAGUUACAGUCAGGGCCCUCUGCUGAAAGAAGCAUCAUGGAAACCUGGACACACAUGAGAACCGGCCUUCCACGCAGGCAAGAAGCAGAAACUGAGGCUCCUCCUUCUCCAUCAUGAGGAAUGUCUUCUGGAAGGCCCUCUGUUGACCUCUCUUGAGAGAUGGCUUUGGUCUGGGUCACCCUGGGCCAUCAGUCAUAUUCUAAUAAUUUGAACCUUAAAAAGAAGGGGUUCUGGUUUCUGUUUCCUCUUUUUGUGUCCCAUAUAAAUUUCAGAUGCAGAUAGAAGUAUAGGCAUGGGGCCUUGGCUAACUGCACUCAGGACUCUUAGCCAAAUUAAUGAAGGAUAAUACUAAAGAGGACAAAACCCCCAGGGUAUUACAUAUGGAUUUCAAAUUCCAGAAUGAGUGCGAGAUAAGGGAAAUGAUGUAGUAUUUAAGACAGAAUCUCAAAUAAGAACCAACGAAUACUGCCCCAGCCCUUGACCCGAGUUCUAAUUUCUCCUUUUGCACAUGGAAAGGGAGAAAGAAGAGGAGCAUGUGAGUGGUUUGAAGUACCCUGCCAUUCCUUACACAUCUGGGCAAAACUCAUCAUAAUAAGGUAAAUCAGUGGACGUCAAAAUGCAUCAAAGAGAAAAUGCAGCAAUUCUUACUAGAUUCAAUUUUUCAAUUUUCAUAUAAGAAUUAAAGCUAAAUAUUGACAAAGG